UUUUUAUCUCAAAUUUCCUCUCCAACACCACUUUUUCCUUUAGCUCAUGCCCUCUAUUUAUAGAGAAAUCCUUGCCGCCUAAGUGCUUGGAAAAUUCAAGAAAAAUCGCGUAAAUUAAUGCUGUCAAGUGGCUGGAAUUUGCUGGAUUUUCCACCGCCUUUUUCUUGCUGGAAAUGUCAAGAAAAUCUGCUGGAAUUCUCUACAAGGUUGGCUGGUGGCUGGAAGAAGAAAAAUUCAAAUUGGCCACCACCUUUUUGUAUGCAUGCAUGGGCUUUCUUAACACUCAAGCAAUUGACAACCUUAUCAUUUUCUAGUCAAUAAAAGUGGCUUUAUUAUUCAACAGCCCCAGCUGCUAUAUCAUAAGACAAAUUGAAUGUUGUAGAAAACAGACUAUGAUAAAAGGCGCAAACCAAAACCUAUAUGCUAUAUCUCCGACUCCAUCCCGUUGCGUAGCUGGCAGCCUCGAUGCCAUCGUUGAGCCUUCAACCUUGUGAGUGGAUUGGUAGUGGAUCUUUUGGAGAGCUCUAUUUGGGUAAUUUUGAUUUCCAUUUUUGAACUGUAAAUUUCUUUUUUAGGAGCUCUUUUGGGUUUGAUGUUGUUUGAAAUGAUUUUACUUUGAUUAAUUUCAUGAGCAAAUAUACAAACUGGAGAAGAAGUUGCCGUGAAGUUGGUUGGUAUGAAUGUUCUGUAAUUUUGUGAAUUUUAGUUCUUAUUUGGAAUAAAUUUUUUAAUUGUUCAUUUAUUGUUGGUUAAUCAACGCCUCUUUUGUUAUUGUUUACCUUGAGAAUUAGUAUUUGUAUUUACAAAGCUAGUAUAUUUGUCAAAUUUUAGCUAUUAAUGAGACCUGCUAACAAAUCUCUCUAGUUCAAGCAAUAGAUAUAUUUCUUUGACAUCAAUGUGUGCAUUGAUUUAUUUCAAGCUUCACUUUGUGCACCUUUUCUGUAAUUUGUAGUAUCCUUUUUCUCUUGAAACAAUAUAAUUUGUUUUGUUUUCAGGAAUUUGUUAAAACCAAGCAUCCUCAGCCUUCAACCUUAUGAGUAACUGGAUUUUUCAUUUGCAAAAUGAUUUAUGAUUUAUGUUUUAUGAAUUGUUGUUGUGAGCCUACUAUUUGCUAUCGAGGCUUAUGAUUUAUGAAAAUUGGGAAAUUAGUGAAUGUGUGAUAAACGCAAACUGUGAUUUGUGAUAAAUGAUAAAUUGGGGAAUUUGUCAUAAAUGAUAGAUUGAAGAAUCGUGAUUUGUGAUUUUAGUGCAUUUACAUAUAGAUUGAAGAAUUUCUAAUAUUAUUUAAUUAAAUAUUAACAAACGACCUCACUAUUGUGAUUGUUGACUGUUGACGGUCAACGACCACCCUAGACUGUUGACUGUCAAUGACCGCCCUAGCUGAGGUUCAUUCCUGGAUUCGCCACUGAAUAUACCAAUGGGUGAGAUCUAUAUAUACGAUAGAAUACCUCAGCAGGUUGAUAGCUGAUAGUAAUUGUAGUGAGAACGUAUUCGCAUCUGAUAAAGAAAAAGCAAGGUUAAGUGAGAAAAUAAAUAGGAUGUCAAAAGAGUCGCAAGGUUAAGUGAGAAAAUAAAUAGGAUGUCAAAAGAGUCAUUUAGCUCGGAUCUAAUCAUUCGGCAUCUCGUCUGGGAGUAUGACAUAAAGUUGAUGAGUCAAGAAG
RNAcentral lists this long non-coding RNA (1661 nucleotides) under Olea europaea subsp. europaea. The record is from RNAcentral. Lineage: Eukaryota; Viridiplantae; Streptophyta; Magnoliopsida; Lamiales; Oleaceae.